UGAGCAAUCUGCCCUUCUCAUCGGAAUAAGCGUUGGAAACGACGUCUAAUGCCGAAUACGACCUCCUUUCGCAUGAUCGGAGGUGGAAAGCUCCGGCGGAGAAGGAUGAGCUCGCGGCCUAUCAGCUAGUUGGUGUGGGUAAUGGCUCACCAAGGCGACGACGGGUAGCCGGCUUGAGAGGGUGACCAGCCCACACUGGGACUGAGACACGGCCCAGACCUCGUACGGGGA
RNAcentral lists this ribosomal RNA (231 nucleotides) under uncultured bacterium. RNAcentral's name for it is "partial 16S ribosomal RNA". It matches the Rfam family "Bacterial small subunit ribosomal RNA", at positions 118 to 347 of the family's 1533-position model. The record is from RNAcentral.